Molecule: transfer RNA, 91 nt
Filed under: Felis catus (domestic cat)
Lineage: Eukaryota; Metazoa; Chordata; Mammalia; Carnivora; Felidae
Rfam family: tRNA
About the family: Transfer RNA (tRNA) molecules are approximately 80 nucleotides in length. Their secondary structure includes four short double-helical elements and three loops (D, anti-codon, and T loops).
Source: Rfam by way of RNAcentral
GCCUGGGUGGCUCAGCUGGUUGAGCGUCGGACUCUUGAUUUCAGUUCAGGUCAUGACCCCAGGAUCAUGGGAUCGAACCCCAUGUCAGGCU